CAGUAGCCGCGGUAAUACGUAGGUGGCAAGCGUUGUCCGGAAUUAUUGGGCGUAAAGGGCUCGCAGGCGGUUUCUUAAGUCUGAUGUGAAAGCCCCCGGCUCAACCGGGGAGGGUCAUUGGAAACUGGGAAACUUGAGUGCAGAAGAGGAGAGUGGAAUUCCACGUGUAGCGGUGAAAUGCGUAGAGAUGUGGAGGAACACCAGUGGCGAAGGCUACUUUCUGGUCUGUAACUGACGCUGAGGAGCGAAAGCGUGGGGAGCGAACAGGAUUAGAUACCCGCGUAGUCCCUGUCUCUUAUAC
RNAcentral lists this ribosomal RNA (301 nucleotides) under uncultured bacterium. RNAcentral's name for it is "partial 16S ribosomal RNA". It matches the Rfam family "Bacterial small subunit ribosomal RNA", at positions 509 to 807 of the family's 1533-position model. The record is from RNAcentral.